AUGAUCUUUGUAGUCAUGCAUUCUGGAGAACCAAAUUGACUCCGGUUCCAUUGCCAUCUCAGCCUGCUUUUGACAGCAUGAUAAGUUUACAUACUAAUCCAUGCCUAUUGGAACAUAAUGGUAGCAGACCAAACAAGACCCCUCCUAAGUAUCGUGAGAAAGAUGCAAAAAGAGUUCAUAAGCAGGAAGAGAACUCUAAUUUAGGAUUAAAAGUUCAUGAGACACCAGUCAAGGGUACACCAGCUGGCCAUAAAACACAAACAAAGAAUUCUGGCAGGAUUGAGGAGAAGCAGAGAGAUCCUUCAACUGCUACUAAACGUGUAAAUCUUUUAAGGUUGUCAAGAAUAGCAAAAACAAACUUACAAAGGGAAAAUGAGAAGGAAAACUACCGGAGGCCUUUACCCAAUAACUCCGAGAAUGCUGCUGAAGUUCAAAUUGAAAACACUGAUAUGGAGCUUGAUUUUAACGAAGACAUUGAAGAUGAGACACCCGAUGAAUCAGAUGGGCUUGAUAACAUCCCUGAAGAAAAAUUAUCUAGUCAGGUAAAAGCGGAAGUGACAGAUAAUAACAUGCGAGUAGAUAACACACCUGCAAGUAAUAUGCCUGCCAUAGAUGAGUCAAGAACACAUGAUGAGGAAUCAUCUUCUGAACAUGUUGAAGUGCCUGCUACCCCACCAAGUGUUAGUCCUCAACUCAAAGUUCAUAGAGUUAAAGAAGGCGCAGGGUCUGCUUUU
Molecule: long non-coding RNA, 734 nt
Filed under: Carica papaya (papaya)
Lineage: Eukaryota; Viridiplantae; Streptophyta; Magnoliopsida; Brassicales; Caricaceae
Description: long non-coding RNA (CPAP_LNC011433)
Source: RNAcentral